GGUUGUGGAGAAAUACUGAUUUGAAAUACAUAAGGGGAGAAAACUCCUAUAAGGGUUAACCAAAACACUUUGACUGAAAUAGGUUGAAGUUGCGCGCCUAAUUGUAAACAGUUAUUUGGCAAACACAUCAUAUCAUCUACUGUCACAGUUUCUGUGGAAUAACGAUAACAAGCAAAAUUCAAAAUUUAGAACAUGACCUUGACCUUUGACCUUGACCUCAAUUUCCUUCAAAUGGACCAAGGACUUCAUAUCAAAAGACUGUAGGCCUCUACGACUUAAAACGUAUCCAACAAAUCGCUUAUCUUAAAUUUUCAAAGGGAAAUAACUCCCAUAAGAUGUCUUCCGAUCACUCAAGUCAAAAUAAACCAAAUCAUUCUCAAGAGUAGACGAACCAUUUGGUGAAAACAGUUUGCUAAAAUCUUUUACGGUUUUAGAGAUAUAGCGAUAACAAGAAAAAGGGGACGCGGGGAGAUAACUCCUAUAAGAAUAAGUGUUCGGUCACACAGGGUGAGUUUUGAAACCCCCAUUACUGUACAUCAUUGGCCAA
Molecule: long non-coding RNA, 547 nt
Filed under: Mytilus galloprovincialis (Mediterranean mussel)
Lineage: Eukaryota; Metazoa; Mollusca; Bivalvia; Mytilida; Mytilidae
Source: RNAcentral